GAUGAACGCUGGCGGCGUGCCUAAUACAUGCAAGUCGAGCGAACGGACGAGAAGCUUGCUUCUCUGAUGUUAGCGGCGGACGGGUGAGUAACACGUGGAUAACCUACCUAUAAGGCUGGGAUAACUUCGGGAAACCGGAGCUAAUACCGGAUAAUAUUUUGAACCGCAUGGUUCAAAAGUGAAAGACGGUCUUGCUGUCACUUAUAGAUGGAUCCGCGCUGCAUUAGCUAGUUGGUAAGGUAACGGCUUACCAAGGCAACGAUGCAUAGCCGACCUGAGAGGGUGAUCGGCCACACUGGAACUGAGACACGGUCCAGACUCCUACGGGAGGCAGCAGUAGGGAAUCUUCCGCAAUGGGCGAAAGCCUGACGGAGCAACGCCGCGUGAGUGAUGAAGGUCUUCGGAUCGUAAAACUCUGUUAUUAGGGAAGAACAUAUGUGUAAGUAACUGUGCACAUCUUGACGGUACCUAAUCAGAAAGCCACGGCUAACUACGUGCCAGCAGCCGCGGUAAUACGUAGGUGGCAAGCGUUAUCCGGAAUUAUUGGGCGUAAAGCGCGCGUAGGCGGUUUUUUAAGUCUGAUGUGAAAGCCCACGGCUCAACCGUGGAGGGUCAUUGGAAACUGGAAAACUUGAGUGCAGAAGAGGAAAGUGGAAUUCCAUGUGUAGCGGUGAAAUGCGCAGAGAUAUGGAGGAACACCAGUGGCGAAGGCGACUUUCUGGUCUGUAACUGACGCUGAUGUGCGAAAGCGUGGGGAUCGAACAGGAUUAGAUACCCUGGUAGUCCACGCCGUAAACGAUGAGUGCUAAGUGUUAGGGGGUUUCCGCCCCUUAGUGCUGCAGCUAACGCAUUAAGCACUCCGCCUGGGGAGUACGACCGCAAGGUUGAAACUCAAAGGAAUUGACGGGGACCCGCACAAGCGGUGGAGCAUGUGGUUUAAUUCGAAGCAACGCGAAGAACCUUACCAAAUCUUGACAUCCUUUGACAACUCUAGAGAUAGAGCCUUCCCCUUCGGGGGACAAAGUGACAGGUGGUGCAUGGUUGUCGUCAGCUCGUGUCGUGAGAUGUUGGGUUAAGUCCCGCAACGAGCGCAACCCUUAAGCUUAGUUGCCAUCAUUAAGUUGGGCACUCUAAGUUGACUGCCGGUGACAAACCGGAGGAAGGUGGGGAUGACGUCAAAUCAUCAUGCCCCUUAUGAUUUGGGCUACACACGUGCUACAAUGGACAAUACAAAGGGCAGCGAAACCGCGAGGUCAAGCAAAUCCCAUAAAGUUGUUCUCAGUUCGGAUUGUAGUCUGCAACUCGACUACAUGAAGCUGGAAUCGCUAGUAAUCGUAGAUCAGCAUGCUACGGUGAAUACGUUCCCGGGUCU
This 1372-nucleotide ribosomal RNA is filed under the name uncultured bacterium. Its description in RNAcentral is "bacterial SSU rRNA". It matches the Rfam family "Bacterial small subunit ribosomal RNA", at positions 28 to 1381 of the family's 1533-position model. The record is from RNAcentral.